GUUGAUAUAGUUCAAUUGGAUAGAAUAAUUGACUACGGAUCAAUAGGCUGUAGGUUCAAGUCCUACUAUCAACU
Molecule: transfer RNA, 74 nt
Filed under: Amoebidium parasiticum
Lineage: Eukaryota; Ichthyosporea; Ichthyophonida; Amoebidiaceae
Description: tRNA-Arg
Rfam family: tRNA
About the family: Transfer RNA (tRNA) molecules are approximately 80 nucleotides in length. Their secondary structure includes four short double-helical elements and three loops (D, anti-codon, and T loops). Further hydrogen bonds mediate the characteristic L-shaped molecular structure. tRNAs have two regions of fundamental functional importance: the anti-codon, which is responsible for specific mRNA codon recognition, and the 3' end, to which the tRNAs corresponding amino acid is attached (by aminoacyl-tRNA synthetases). tRNAs cope with the degeneracy of the genetic code in two manners: having more than one tRNA (with a specific anti-codon) for a particular amino acid; and 'wobble' base-pairing, i.e. permitting non-standard base-pairing at the 3rd anti-codon position.
Source: RNAcentral